This 1506-nucleotide long non-coding RNA is filed under the name Fukomys damarensis (Damara mole-rat). RNAcentral's name for it is "lncRNA (ENSFDAG00000031971.1)". Lineage: Eukaryota; Metazoa; Chordata; Mammalia; Rodentia; Bathyergidae. The record is from RNAcentral.
GUAGCCGCACGCUGAUACCCUGUGUUGAUCAAGCAGGUUUGAUCUGCAGUUUCAUCUGGGACAGCCAGAGGUCUUUGGAACAGUAACCAGGGAACCAGCCUUAAAAGAUGGGAAAACAUAUUCAAAUUUGAAAACAACAUUCUAACCUCUGGUACCAGCAAUAGGACUAGAAAAUGUCUCCAUGGACAGGGUGUUAGUCCCUUCUUUUUGCCUCAGAAUCUGUCACCAACCUCCCAUUAGGAAUAUGAAGUGAAGCACAUCUCAGUAAAAACUAGACACCAACCAAAGACAUGAAAAGGCUCACAUGUAAACCUGGAGCUAAAACUACAGCUACAAAAGUAUCCCACUUGUAUAGGACAGGAGCAGGGAAUCUGAGCCUCCUGAAACCUGCUGCACAAUGUAGUCAAUGAGCUGCCCACCCCUGGCUCAGCACUGACCAAUCAGGACAAGCGCUCUCUGCACCCUUGAAAUCCUUAUUUGCAUGAGACCAGGAUAGGACUUGAGUCAGGAACCUUUCCUUUAUUAGUUACCCCUUUCCUUUGGGAUCAUGCUGGCCUGGGCUGGCCCUUGUUAGAGCUUCAGCUCCCUUCUAGUAUGAACAGAAGUCCCCAAUAAGCCCUGUCUGUGCCAAUACUUCCUCUGGGUCCCCCCUUUUCUGUCUCUGGACCCAAGAACCAGCUCUGGUACCACCUGCUCCAUUAUGUUUAGAUACAGCUGGUCACGGUAUAGUUGUGAGAAGGAUUAGUAUCAUCAGGGCAUGUUUAAACCAAGUGGCAAGGCGUAGGUCAAGCCAGGCACUCUGGACUGAAUCAUGCCUGUGCCCCCAAAUUCAUGGCUCUAACCCCCAAGUGGACUGUAUUUGGAGCUAGGGCUUUUAAGAGCUACUUAAAAUUUAAUGAGGUCAUAAUGGUGGGGCCUAACACAACAGGGUGGUGUCUUAUUAGAAAAACAAAGGACACCAAACAGCUCUCUCUCCCCCUGUCACCCUGGGUACAGCAAGAAGGAAAUCAGGUGGAUCACCUUGCCCUGGGACUCUUGGCCUCCAGAACCAUGAGAAGUGAAGCCUGCUGUCAAGCUCCAAGUCCUGGGGUUUGGUUACAGGAGCCCCAGAUGAGGAGGACUCAGGGUUAUGCCAAGGAUCCAAGAAAACAGGAAUGCUAAGAAGAAUCUGCAGUCAUUGAGAGCAACUGUCAUAGUCAGAGGUUUCCUCUGUCCUCCCCGACCCCGACUGGAGAGCCACCUGGCUUCUAGUAGGUGGUUCCUAGUCAUCCAAGAGAGAGCCAGUUCUUCAAGAGGCCUUUGGAGGAGGCUCCAGGCAGCAACAUGAGCUACAGAGUGAAAAACCUGGGGCCCAGGUCAUCCCAUUAAGUUUGGGUUCUUCCUCAACACCAGCCUAAUCAUCUAAGGAGACCUGCUCUGUGGCAAAGGCUAUCUGAGGGGUAUUGUGAGUGAAACCUCAAGAAAUGGUCCCUGACCUAGCCAAGCCCACCCAAUCCUAAACCUGCC